AUUCGUCUUCAGGGGCAGGGUGAAAUUCCCGACCGGUGGUAUAGUCCACGAGCUAAAUAGCAUUAUUUGGUUGAACUGGUUAAAUUCCAGUACCGACAGUAAAGUCUGGAUAAAGAAGAUGGGG
This is a non-coding RNA of Carnobacterium inhibens subsp. gilichinskyi, 124 nucleotides long. NCBI's taxonomy places the organism in Bacteria, Bacillati, Bacillota, Bacilli, Lactobacillales, Carnobacteriaceae. The record is from Rfam.